UUAAGCGACUAAGCGUACACGGUGGAUGCCCUGGCAGUCAGAGGCGAUGAAGGACGUGCUAAUCUGCGAUAAGCGUCGGUGAGGUGAUAUGAACCGUUAUAACCGGCGAUUUCCGAAUGGGGAAACCCAGUGUGUUUCGACACACUAUCAUUAACUGAAUCCAUAGGUUAAUGAGGCGAACCGGGGGAACUGAAACAUCUAAGUACCCCGAGGAAAAGAAAUCAACCGAGAUUCCCCCAGUAGCGGCGAGCGAACGGGGAGGAGCCCAGAGCCUGAAUCAGUGUGUGUGUUAGUGGAAGCGUCUGGAAAGGCGCGCGAUACAGGGUGACAGCCCCGUACACAAAAAUGCACAUAUUGUGAGCUCGAUGAGUAGGGCGGGACACGUGGUAUCCUGUCUGAAUAUGGGGGGACCAUCCUCCAAGGCUAAAUACUCCUGACUGACCGAUAGUGAACCAGUACCGUGAGGGAAAGGCGAAAAGAACCCCGGCGAGGGGAGUGAAAAAGAACCUGAAACCGUGUACGUACAAGCAGUGGGAGCCUCUUAAUGGGGUGACUGCGUACCUUUUGUAUAAUGGGUCAGCGACUUAUAUUCUGUAGCAAGGUUAACCGAAUAGGGGAGCCGAAGGGAAACCGAGUCUUAACUGGGCGUUAAGUUGCAGGGUAUAGACCCGAAACCCGGUGAUCUAGCCAUGGGCAGGUUGAAGGUUGGGUAACACUAACUGGAGGACCGAACCGACUAAUGUUGAAAAAUUAGCGGAUGACUUGUGGCUGGGGGUGAAAGGCCAAUCAAACCGGGAGAUAGCUGGUUCUCCCCGAAAGCUAUUUAGGUAGCGCCUCGUGAAUUCAUCUCCGGGGGUAGAGCACUGUUUCGGCAAGGGGGUCAUCCCGACUUACCAACCCGAUGCAAACUGCGAAUACCGGAGAAUGUUAUCACGGGAGACACACGGCGGGUGCUAACGUCCGUCGUGAAGAGGAAACAACCCAGACCGCCAGCUAAGGUCCCAAAGUCAUGGUUAAGUGGGAAACGAUGUGGGAAGGCCCAGACAGCCAGGAUGUUGGCUUAGAAGCAGCCAUCAUUUAAAGAAAGCGUAAUAGCUCACUGGUCGAGUCGGCCUGCGCGGAAGAUGUAACGGGGCUAAACCAUGCACCGAAGCUGCGGCAGCGACACUAUGUGUUGUUGGGUAGGGGAGCGUUCUGUAAGCCUGUGAAGGUGUACUGUGAGGUAUGCUGGAGGUAUCAGAAGUGCGAAUGCUGACAUAAGUAACGAUAAAGCGGGUGAAAAGCCCGCUCGCCGGAAGACCAAGGGUUCCUGUCCAACGUUAAUCGGGGCAGGGUGAGUCGACCCCUAAGGCGAGGCCGAAAGGCGUAGUCGAUGGGAAACAGGUUAAUAUUCCUGUACUUGGUGUUACUGCGAAGGGGGGACGGAGAAGGCUAUGUUGGCCGGGCGACGGUUGUCCCGGUUUAAGCGUGUAGGCUGGUUUUCCAGGCAAAUCCGGAAAAUCAAGGCUGAGGCGUGAUGACGAGGCACUACGGUGCUGAAGCGACAAAUGCCCUGCUUCCAGGAAAAGCCUCUAAGCAUCAGGUAACAUCAAAUCGUACCCCAAACCGACACAGGUGGUCAGGUAGAGAAUACCAAGGCGCUUGAGAGAACUCGGGUGAAGGAACUAGGCAAAAUGGUGCCGUAACUUCGGGAGAAGGCACGCUGAUAUGUAGGUGAAGCGACUUGCUCGUGGAGCUGAAAUCAGUCGAAGAUACCAGCUGGCUGCAACUGUUUAUUAAAAACACAGCACUGUGCAAACACGAAAGUGGACGUAUACGGUGUGACGCCUGCCCGGUGCCGGAAGGUUAAUUGAUGGGGUUAGCGGUAACGCGAAGCUCUUGAUCGAAGCCCGGUAAACGGCGGCCGUAACUAUAACGGUCCUAAGGUAGCGAAAUUCCUUGUCGGGUAAGUUCCGACCUGCACGAAUGGCGUAAUGAUGGCCAGGCUGUCUCCACCCGAGACUCAGUGAAAUUGAACUCGCUGUGAAGAUGCAGUGUACCCGCGGCAAGACGGAAAGACCCCGUGAACCUUUACUAUAGCUUGACACUGAACAUUGAGCCUUGAUGUGUAGGAUAGGUGGGAGGCUUUGAAGUGUGGACGCCAGUCUGCAUGGAGCCGACCUUGAAAUACCACCCUUUAAUGUUUGAUGUUCUAACGUGGGCCCCUUACCGGGGUUGCGGACAGUGUCUGGUGGGUAGUUUGACUGGGGCGGCUCCUCCUAAAGAGUAACGGAGGAGCACGAAGGUUGGCUAAUCCUGGUCGGACAUCAGGAGGUUAGUGCAAUGGCAUAAGCCAGCUUGACUGCGAGCGUGACGGCGCGAGCAGGUGCGAAAGCAGGUCAUAGUGAUCCGGUGGUUCUGAAUGGAAGGGCCAUCGCUCAACGGAUAAAAGGUACUCCGGGGAUAACAGGCUGAUACCGCCCAAGAGUUCAUAUCGACGGCGGUGUUUGGCACCUCGAUGUCGGCUCAUCACAUCCUGGGGCUGAAGUAGGUCCCAAGGGUAUGGCUGUUCGCCAUUUAAAGUGGUACGCGAGCUGGGUUUAGAACGUCGUGAGACAGUUCGGUCCCUAUCUGCCGUGGGCGCUGGAGAACUGAGGGGGGCUGCUCCUAGUACGAGAGGACCGGAGUGGACGCAUCACUGGUGUUCGGGUUGUCAUGCCAAUGGCACUGCCCGGUAGCUAAAUGCGGAAGAGAUAAGUGCUGAAAGCAUCUAAGCACGAAACUUGCCCCGAGAUGAGUUCUCCCUGACUCCUUGAGAGUCCUGAAGGAACGUUGAAGACGACGACGUUGAUAGGCCGGGUGUGUAAGCGCAGCGAUGCGUUGAGCUAACCGGUACUAAUGAACCGUGAGGCUUAACCU
RNAcentral lists this ribosomal RNA (2898 nucleotides) under Escherichia coli. RNAcentral's name for it is "23S ribosomal RNA". It matches the Rfam family "Bacterial large subunit ribosomal RNA". Lineage: Bacteria; Pseudomonadati; Pseudomonadota; Gammaproteobacteria; Enterobacterales; Enterobacteriaceae. The record is from RNAcentral.